GGUCCAGUAGCAUAGUGGUUAAUGCACCAGAAUAAAUUCAAAGGUAUUCCAUGAACAGUUAUUCUGAGCACCCUUGUUCGACUCAAGGCUGGACCA
Non-coding RNA from Mycena rebaudengoi, 96 nucleotides. NCBI's taxonomy places the organism in Eukaryota, Fungi, Basidiomycota, Agaricomycetes, Agaricales, Mycenaceae. The record is from the annotation of a GenBank genome assembly.